Molecule: RNA transcript, 3241 nt
Organism: Homo sapiens (human)
Lineage: Eukaryota; Metazoa; Chordata; Mammalia; Primates; Hominidae
Gene: COMMD4
Gene name: COMM domain containing 4
Exons: 9
Source: RefSeq, marked validated
AUUCCCGGGCCCUGGCUUCUUGGCGCGAUGAGGUUCCGGUUCUGUGGUGAUCUGGACUGUCCCGACUGGGUCCUGGCAGAAAUCAGCACGCUGGCCAAGAUGUCCUCUGUGAAGUUGCGGCUGCUCUGCAGCCAGGUACUAAAGGAGCUGCUGGGACAGGGGAUUGAUUAUGAGAAGAUCCUGAAGCUCACGGCUGACGCCAAGUUUGAGUCAGGCGAUGUGAAGGCCACAGUGGCAGUGCUGAGUUUCAUCCUCUCCAGUGCGGCCAAGCACAGUGUCGAUGGCGAAUCCUUGUCCAGUGAACUGCAGCAGCUGGGGCUGCCCAAAGAGCACGCGGCCAGCCUGUGCCGCUGUUAUGAGGAGAAGCAAAGCCCCUUGCAGAAGCACUUGCGGGUCUGCAGCCUACGCAUGAAUAGGUUGGCAGGUGUGGGCUGGCGGGUGGACUACACCCUGAGCUCCAGCCUGCUGCAAUCCGUGGAAGAGCCCAUGGUGCACCUGCGGCUGGAGGUGGCAGCUGCCCCAGGGACCCCAGCCCAGCCUGUUGCCAUGUCCCUCUCAGCAGACAAGUUCCAGGUCCUCCUGGCAGAACUGAAGCAGGCCCAGACCCUGAUGAGCUCCCUGGGCUGAGGAGAAGGGUGUUCCAGGCCUGUGUGGAGCCGCCCUGCCCGUAUGGAGUCACGCCCUCUGAACUGCUCUUCGGGAGGCAGCCCUGGUUCUAGGAUGCUGAGGCCCUGGCCCGGACUCUGGCCUCCCAGAUCCCCAGCUGCCUCACUUCUCUCUUGAGAACUUGGCUCAGGGCUCCUGAGGACCUUUCCCAGCAUUACCUUCCCUUCCCUUGAAAGUAGAGAUGAGGUUUCUCCAUGUUGGUCAGGCUGGUCUCGAACUCCUGACCUCAGGUGAUCCACCCACCUUGCCCUCCCAAAGUGCUGGGAUUACAGGCGUAAGCCACUGCGCCCAGCCACUGCCAUCAUCUUUAGGAAGAGAGAAGUGACCAUGCCUGAACCAGUCAUUGGCAAGAGGAACGGUGUUAUGGACUGAAUGUUCAUGUUCCUCCAGAAUUCAUAUGCUGAAGCCUCUGUCCACACAUGCACACCAGAUGAGGGCCAUGUGCGCACACGAGGUGGCUGUCUACAAGGCCAGAAAGAGGGCUGUCAACAGGAACUGCGUCUGCUGGCACCUUGAUCUUGAACUUCCCAGCCUCCAGAACUGUGAGAAAGAAAUCUCUAUGGUGUAAGCCACUAGUCUGUGGCAUUGUUAUAGCAGCUCGAGAAGACUAAGGCAGAUGGGCUUCCAGGACUGGCCCAGACCAGCCAGGGCUCCUUGUAGAAAAGGCUGAUGCCAGGGUUGGCACAUGGAGGGUACAAGGAGGACUCGCCUGGAGUAUCUUAAGGAACCUAUCGAAGAAUAAUGGCUUGUUCCACUGGCCAAAGAUGGGACAAUUUGAACAUCAAAAGAGAUACUUACUGACUCCACUCCUGACUUCUGCUUCUGAAAAAAUGAAGUAGGUGUUUUCCCUAUUCCUCCCACUAAGUACAGUUAACAACCCUGGAUGUUACAUAUAAAACAAACAAAAAGACUCCGAGCGAUGGAGAGAAGGCACCCUAGCCUGGCUGGGAUCCUCAGGACCUGAGGCUCCACAGAGAGAAAUUCCUGGAAUCUGGACCCCAUGGCCCAGUCAGGUUACACAAAACUGAUCAUCACAGAUCUGUAGAACUAUACAAAAGUGCUAACAUUCAUGAUUAGGGUCUCAGAAGGUAAGGAGGAAGAGAGUGGAAUGGAAAAAGUAUUCAAAAAAAUAAUCACUAAAGGCCAGGUGCAGUGGCCCAUGCCUGUAAUCCCAGCACUUUGGGAGGUGGGACAAUUGCUUUAGACCUUGCAACUGGCCUGAGCAACACAGGGAGACUCAGUUUCUCCAAAAAAAUAAAAAAUUAGCCGAUCAUGGUGGUGCGUGCUUAUAGUCUCAGCUACUCAGAAGGCUGAGGCAGGAGGAUCAAUCGCUUGAGCCCAGGGGUUUGAGGCUGCAGUGAGCUGUGAUCAUACCUCUGCACUCCAGCCUGGAUAACAGAGCUGAGACCCUGUCUCAAAAAAAAAAAAAAAAAAAAAAAAAAAAUGUAUAUAUACACACAUUGGAAUAUUUUUCAGCCCUUAAAAAGCAGAAGGUUCUGUCAUUUGUGACUUGGAUGAACCUAGACGACAUGAUGCUAAGUGAAAUAAGCCAGGCACAGAGAGACAAAUACCUCGUCACCUCACUUAUGCCUGGAGUUGAAAAAAGGGCCUGGGGCAGUGGCUCACGCCUGUAAUCCCAGCACUUUGGGAAGCCAAGGUGGGAGGAUCACUUAAGCCCAGGAGUUCGAGACCAGGCUGGGCAACAUGGCAAACCUGUCUCUACAAAAAGUAAAAAAAUUAGCCGGGUGCAGUGGCACAUGCCUGUGGUUCCAGCACUUGGGAGGUUGAGGUGGGAGGAUUGCUUGAGCCAGGGCGGUCAAGGCUGCAGUGAACCAUGAUAGUGCCCCUGCACUCCAGCCUGGGUGACAGUGAGACCCUGUCUCAAAAAAAAAAAGUUAAAUUCAUAGAAGUCGACAGUAGAAUGGUGGUUAGCAGAGGCUGGAGGAGAGAGAGGGUGGGUUGUGGGGAAAAGGGGAGACACCGGUCAAAAGGUACAAAGUUCCAGUUAGGAGGAGUACAUUCUGGUGAUUUAUUGCCCAGCGUGGUGACCAGUUAAUAAUGAUGUAUACUUCAAAAUAGCUAAAAGAGGGUUUUAAAUGUUCUCAUCACAAAGAAAUAAAUAUUUGAGGUAAUGGAUAUCCUAAUUAGCCUGAUUUGAUCUUUUUUUGUGUUUUUUGUUUUCUUGAGACAGAGUCUCACUCUGUUGCCUAGGCUGGAGUGCAGUGGCGUGAUCUUGGCUCACUGCAACCUCCGCCUCCCGAGUUCAAGUGAUUCUCCUGCCUCAGCCUCUGUAGUAGCUGGGACUACAGGCAUGCACCACCACCCCUGGCUAAUUUUUUGUAUUUUUUGUAGAGACUGGGUUUCACUAUGUUGGCCAGGCUGGUUUUAAACUUCUGACCUCAGGUGAUCCGUCUGCCUCGGCCUCCCACAGUGCUGGGAUUACAGGCAUGAGCCACCGUGCCCAGCCGAUUUGAUCAUUCCACAAUAUAUGCAUGUAACAAAACAUCACACUGUACUCCAUAAAUUUAUACAAUUAUUAUUUGUCAAUUAAAAAUAAAACUAUAGAUAAGUCAAA